GGCCCCGUCGUCUAGCGGCAAGGAUGCCCGCCUGACGCGCGGGAGGUCCCGGGUUCGAAUCCCGGCGGGGCCACCA
Molecule: transfer RNA, 76 nt
Filed under: Thermoprotei archaeon
Lineage: Archaea; Thermoproteati; Thermoproteota; Thermoprotei
Also listed under: 1 other name
Description: tRNA-Val
Rfam family: tRNA
About the family: Transfer RNA (tRNA) molecules are approximately 80 nucleotides in length.
Source: RNAcentral